GUAUGAUGAAAUGGCUCACCUAGUAGUUUUCCCAGAACUAAGGAAUAGUCCUUACCCAAAUAUAUUUAGGUGUAUACUUCUUGCAAGACAUAAAAUUGCUUGCAUCUUUGAAAAGGCAGGUUUUCAGAAGCAUCUUCCUCGUUUGUAUGCCUUGAAGAAGAAAUUCAGCCAGGAUACCUUGGUAUGGUAAGAAAUAUUUUUGAACAAAAGACAUGUUUUUGAAUCUUUUACUCUAGCUACCAUUUCCCCUCACAUUUAGACUGUCCCCAGAAAGUGAAUUCUCUUUCUGCUUGGAAGCACUGUGCUUAUAGAAGCAACCCUGCUCUGUAAAUAAUGCUGUAAUGGUGCCACCUGUCGGGAAAUAGGGACAUUACAAGGGGAGCCUCAGGGAAUUUAUGGCUUUCACUUCAACAAGCACUAUCAGAUGCCUGCUAAAGUCCUGGCUCUCUGUCAAAUGGUGGGUGGCAAGGAGAGAAGAGAAAGUAAAUAAAUAGAAUGUAUAUGAAGAAUGUAAAAAACAACUGCAAUAUACUCCUGACUUGUCUCCCCUGGCCUUGCUCACAUACCUUUCAUCCGAAGGUUAAUCUUCCUAAACCAGAGCUCUGAACAUUCAUUCUUCUCGAAAUCUGUGUGUCCCUAGUGCUUCUUAAACUAAGUUUAAAAUCCAGUGGGCGUGGGGAGUCAAGGUCCUCCCUAAUUAGGCCCGGAAUAUUUUUUAACCUAUAUAUUUCAUUUCUCAACUACAUCUUCUAGACACCAUCCCACCAGGUAAGAAGCCCAUAUCAUCCCAGUCAAAGCUGGAAAUGAUUCCCAGGGGUAUCCCAGUUUCUUUAAUCCCUGAGUGAGCCAUCUAAAUGAGCGCCCUCUGGCCUCAAUUCCGUAUCUCUCAGUCAUGCUUCCCAAGUGCAGUCAGAUGCACAUCUCCUCCAGAAAAAGGACUUCUGCAGCCUGGGCCACCUGCACCAGCCUCUCAGAGGUGUUCCCCACCUCCCCUUGCCCCUUUUCCCUCUCUCACGCUGUGAAUGGGAAAUCCCCAGAAAUAGCAUGUAAAACUUUUUGACUAUGAAUUUGUGCUUUUAUUUCAAGGAAUAGGGUUCAUAAUUUUCAUCAAAUUAUUAAUGAAGCCUGUAAAGUCAGAAAGGGUAACUAACUCUAGUUAAAAUGUGCAUGCUACUCACCAUUUCCCAGAAAUGCCCCUCAUUUUCCUGCAUCUGGUUUUCUGGUCAUUCUCUUUACUUUCCUGCUCCAUCAUGUCUCUGUUAGUUAGAACUCUACCGGUUCUCUAAAGCCUUUCUCUAAUGCUACCUCCAUCAUGGAGCCUUUCCUGAUGUGAUCUCUUCCUCCUUAAAAUGUCCAAAUCUUUUUCUUUGUACCUAUUUGGAGCAUGGUAACUGUAUUUUGCCUUACUUCUAUUAUUCCUCAUGUGCUUUUAUAUUCUCCCUUCUGGAUUAUCAGUUAUCUUGAGAGCUGGAACUGCUUUCUCAUUUUUAUAGUCUCUGAAGUAUCUAUUUUAUUGACUUUAAGGCACAAUUGACUGUAUGGCAUCCUAUUUUAGGUACCAUUAAGAAAGGAAAAAACACUGUCAAAUUAUCGCUAUGCUUUCUUAUAUUUAUAUUUUAAAGUUUCAUUCUUAAAGAACUCUUUUAGAGUUGCUUAGAAAUAGAACUUAAAAAAAUCACUACUAUGCACUGAAAUAACUGAGUCAUUAUGGUAUUAUUUAAUUUUUUUCACACUGAGUCUGACACUUGAAUCACUUUUUGACUCAGAAUAUUUGAUGUAUUUUCCCAUGCAUUUCUAUUCUCUGGGCCAUUUUGAGUAUUAGUGAAGUGGCAUUUCUUAUAAAGAAAAAAAAGUCCUCU
Molecule: long non-coding RNA, 1859 nt
Filed under: Homo sapiens (human)
Lineage: Eukaryota; Metazoa; Chordata; Mammalia; Primates; Hominidae
Description: non-protein coding lnc-CCDC184-2:1
Source: RNAcentral